RNAcentral lists this ribosomal RNA (446 nucleotides) under uncultured organism. RNAcentral's name for it is "partial 16S ribosomal RNA". It matches the Rfam family "Bacterial small subunit ribosomal RNA", at positions 334 to 797 of the family's 1533-position model. The record is from RNAcentral.
CACUCCUGCGGGAGGCAGCAGUGGGGAAUAUUGGACCAUGGGCGCAAGCCUGAUCCAGCCAUGCCGCGUGAGUGAUGAAGGCCCUAGGGUUGUAAAGCUCUUUCACCGGUGAAGAUAAUGACGGUAACCGGAGAAGAAGCCCCGGCUAACUUCGUGCCAGCAGCCGCGGUAAUACGAAGGGGGCUAGCGUUGUUCGGAUUUACUGGGCGUAAAGCGCACGUAGGCGGACUAUUAAGUCAGGGGUGAAAUCCCGGGGCUCAACCCCGGAACUGCCUUUGAUACUGGUAGUCUUGAGUUCGAGAGAGGUGAGUGGAAUUCCGAGUGUAGAGGUGAAAUUCGUAGAUAUUCGGAGGAACACCAGUGGCGAAGGCGGCUCACUGGCUCGAUACUGACGCUGAGGUGCGAAAGCGUGGGGAGCAAACAGGAUUAGAAACCCCUGUAGUCCC